This 20-nucleotide unclassified non-coding RNA is filed under the name Chlamydomonas reinhardtii. Its description in RNAcentral is "small RNA Cre_1197". Lineage: Eukaryota; Viridiplantae; Chlorophyta; Chlorophyceae; Chlamydomonadales; Chlamydomonadaceae. The record is from RNAcentral.
CGACCUAUUGUUACCACGGG